RNAcentral lists this ribosomal RNA (253 nucleotides) under uncultured bacterium. RNAcentral describes it as "partial 16S ribosomal RNA". It matches the Rfam family "Bacterial small subunit ribosomal RNA", at positions 524 to 776 of the family's 1533-position model. The record is from RNAcentral.
UACGUAGGGUGCGAGCGUUGUCCGGAAUUACUGGGCGUAAAGAGCUCGUAGGUGGUUUGUCGCGUUGUCCGUGAAAACUCACAACUCAAUUGUGGGCGUGCGGGCGAUACGGGCAGACCGGAGUACUGCAGGGGAGACUGGAAUUCCUGGUGUAGCGGUGGAAUGCGCAGAUAUCAGGAGGAACACCGGUGGCGAAGGCGGGUCUCUGGGCAGUAACUGACGCUGAGGAGCGAAAGCGUGGGGAGCGAACAGG